CAAAAGGGGAAGGAUUUAACUUGCAAAUAACCCCUCACUGCGAUGACACGCGGAUCCUGAGGGUCAAAGAACCGGAUCGGGUCGGGUGUACAAAUACGACACCAUUUGGAAAGCCACUAGGCAAGGCCUGAAACGGUGCCGUUUGAGGUCCUAUAAAAAGGCCAAAUCGGCAGAUUAGGCCGAACCCUAACCUUAGCCUCACUCCUUUCUCUCCAGCAGCCCCCAGACCUCUCUCCUCAAAUGCCAAGCCGCCAUCAUACAGAUGACCAGCAUCCUCAGGCUAUGCGCGACCGCUUUAUGGCCUUGAAGUUCCCCUUAAGUCUCUGAUUUCGGCGAAACAAAGGAGAAUCGAUGGCCUAUUUUCAAGGUACAAGACGUGCUGGCGUUCGGGUACGGGAGUUGACAUACGGGAGCGCGCGUGACUGCUGAAAUGCUGGAGCGUACCGGGGCGGUGGAGGCUGAAUGGUUGCGGCGCAUCUACUGCUAGGGAUAGGGUUUGGAGAAAUUUGUUUAGCAAUUGGGCCGUUUGGGCUCAUUUCGGGUAUUGGGUCAACCCUUGGGUUAUGGGAUUGGUUUUUUGUAAAUAGGCUGUGGGCCAUAGUAGUUUUUUUUGGACUGAUGUACUGCAAAUGGACAUUAAUUAUUGGUUUGUUUUA
Gossypium arboreum is the source of this 656-nucleotide long non-coding RNA. RefSeq lists it as uncharacterized. Lineage: Eukaryota; Viridiplantae; Streptophyta; Magnoliopsida; Malvales; Malvaceae. The record is from RefSeq and is a predicted model, not a curated record. The transcript has 2 exons.